This 471-nucleotide ribosomal RNA is filed under the name uncultured Streptococcus sp. Its description in RNAcentral is "bacterial SSU rRNA". It matches the Rfam family "Bacterial small subunit ribosomal RNA", at positions 910 to 1382 of the family's 1533-position model. The record is from RNAcentral. Lineage: Bacteria; Bacillati; Bacillota; Bacilli; Lactobacillales; Streptococcaceae.
UUGACGGGGCCCGCACAAGCGGUGGAGCAUGUGGUUAAUUCGAAGCAACGCGAAGUAACCUUACCAGGUCUUGACAUCCCGAUGCUAUUUCUAGAGAUAGAAAGUUACUUCGGUACAUCGGUGACAGGUGGUGCAUGGUUGUCGUCAGCUCGUGUCGUGAGAUGUUGGGUUAAGUCCCGCAACGAGCGCAACCCCUAUUGUUAGUUGCCAUCAUUCAGUUGGGCACUCUAGCGAGACUGCCGGUAAUAAACCGGGAGGAAGUGGGGAUGACGUCAAAUCAUCAUGCCCCUUAUGACCUGGGCUACACACGUGCUACAAUGGUUGGUACAACGAGUUGCGAGUCGGUGACGGCGAGCUAAUCUCUUAAAAGCCAAUCUCAGUUCGGAUUGUAGGCUGCAACUCGCCUACAUGAAGUCGGAAUCGCUAGUAAUCGCGGAUCAGCACGCCGCGGUGAAUACGUUCCCGGGCCUU